GGGAUUUUGAAAGAAAUUAUAUGUGAAGUCCCGAUGCCAAAUAAGACACCAACGUACAAAAGAGCAUGCAUAAAAUAAAUAUUUACAUUGCACCAAAACUAUACAUCUCAUAUAAGGUUUACAAAAGGCAGCAUCCUGAGACAAAAUAGGCUAUUUACAUUACAAAAUACAAACUACUGGCCUCAAGUUAAAACAAACUACAAGUCUGCUCCAAACUAUUCCUCCUAAAAGGAAUCUAAAUAAGGUUCUUCAGUGUUCUUUUCCAACUUUGCAUCUAGGGGGGGAGGGUUGGAUUUGAGUGAGUCCCAAUACUCUGUAAGAUAGAUAGAAAUAAUGCAACAUAGAUAAGUUUAAAAACUUUCAUUAAUGUAUAUUUGGAAAACAAUAUUUAAAAACAAAUUAGAUCCAAUUUCGUUGCCAAGUCAAAUAGUCGAUAUUUCCAUCCAAAUCGAAUAUUCAUCUUACUCAAAUUGUCCCAAAUGAGGUUAAUACUACAUUUAAUGGAUUUACACAACUCACACACAUAGGACAAGAUUCAUCUUCUAACUCAAUUUUAAUUAAAAAUUAAUUAUCUUAAAUUAUGUUUUACUAAUUAUAAACCUACGUGUGCAGCCACCUACACCUAUUUUCAAUGAGGGCAAACGGGAUACCAUCUAGUCAUGGGUGGGUGCGCAAAUGAUUACAAACAUACAUUCACAUAUAAUAUAUACAAAUGAAAUACUCUUAGAUCUCUCUAUGUCGCCAUCAUUCAUGUCCUUGAGCUCCGGAACAUGAAUAUCAAAUUACCCAGAGUCCCUCAAGAUAACUGAACUACAUGUUCCAUAAAGGAACCAAAACCAACACCCAUAACUUAGUGGCUUUGGAACAAAUAAUCAAAGCAAAUAACUCUAGUGAAUUGAAUUUCAACCAGAUUCUAUAUUCAAGUUUUUGACUUUUAAUUUUAUUUAUGUAGUUUAGAGUAAUUCUAGAAACUAAAAUUUUAUAUUGUUUAUUCUUUUAGACUUAAUUUAAAUUUUAUUAAUUUAUUUAUUAAUUAGCGAUUAGUUAUUUAAUUUUUUUAUCAACUCAAAUUGAGCCGUAAAUUUUCAUAUUUUAAUUUCAUACAUUCCUACUUCAUUUUUUUUUAUCCCGUGCUCGAGAAAGAAUUUCCCUCGUACCUGCACUUGUGGUACAGGAAGCACUACCCGCGAAGAUCCCUCAGUGUGCAUAGAUGUUUGCCAAAUCUGCACGGCGCACAGGCCCGCUACAAUUACCAUGCAGUGUGAUAGAUACGGAAGGGCGAAGGCAUCCCGAAUACAGUCCCGGUGCAUAUACACACACCAAUACGCAUGGCAACACCGGUUGCCAUGUACGUGCCCACGUAACAUUCUCGGCACACUCGGUGCCUGACAGUGUCCGAUGUGCAUAUUACACAGCGUUGUUGUGCCAACCCGUGUGGGGGGAUGUCCUCAGACAAAUCUAGGUGCCCAGCAGCAUCCCUUUUCCACGGCUAUAACCCAAAUAUUUCACCUCCAUUCAGCAGCAGCGACAUGGUGAUGCUGCUUUCUGUAAACAGAGCCUUUUUUGCUCAUUUCCUCAAAUUGAUCUUCAAUCUUUUGCUUUCCAAACAUUAUUAUCGGUUACCAAACAGAUAACUUCAAAUAAUUUUCAAAUCAAACUAUUUUAAAUUCACGAAAACCAGAUUAUAACACUCACGCGCACGCACUUUAUUUUCCUUUCACACACGCACACAGCAGGAUUAAUUCACCAAAACAUGUUAUUUAAAACAUUUAAAAAUUACAUAUCAUGCAUCAACAAGAUUUCAGUCUAUCGUAAUUGAUGUAUACGCGAAACAGAAGCAAAGUUUGCACGAAGGAAUGCUGGAAAUUUCAAAAAAGUCUCCUCUGCAACUUGUGAUAAGUAAAACGGAGUAUGGUGAGAGUUUUGAUUAAUUUUCAAGUUUAUGAUUCGUUUAACUUUGAGAAAUAAUGUCCUAACACUCCUAACUUGUUAUUUUAAUAACUAACUACAAGAUUUUGGAAAGGAAAGCACAAAUUAGGAAUGAAUUUAAACGAGGAACAAACACCUACUUGAACAGGGGUGUUGUUCCGAUGCAGCAGCACAAUUUCAACUUUCGAAGCUUGGUGUGGUAAUUUCGGUCAUUAGGUAACGUAUAUAGGUGAUCAUAAACAUCUAAGGAAAUGAGGAAGAUAAUCUAGAAGAAGAAAAAUCAACCUACCUCAGCGUGAAGGAUGAAAAUCCGUUUUUGUCACGUACCCAGAACGUAUGAUCUGUUUUGGGUGCAUGGUUUCUCUCUAGGUUUCCCUCUCUCUCUCUCUUCCAUUUUUCGCUCUCAACCUGCCCUCUCACUCACUUGUUUAACUGGAAUUUUUGGUUUGAAGAAGAUGAAGACGAAGUUGUGAAGAGAAGGAAGCUUUUAACUGAAUUUGGCCCAUCAUCCGAUCAUCCAAAUGCAUGCACGACAUCACAGCUGUUGGUGCUUUUGGUGGCCGACCAAGGCUUGCAUGGAAGGCCAAUUUUUCUUCAUACCUGGCCGGUGCUCACGACAGCCCACCAUGUGGCUCGGUUAUGGCCACAAUUGUG
This 2583-nucleotide long non-coding RNA is filed under the name Carica papaya (papaya). RNAcentral's name for it is "long non-coding RNA (CPAP_LNC013254)". The record is from RNAcentral. Lineage: Eukaryota; Viridiplantae; Streptophyta; Magnoliopsida; Brassicales; Caricaceae.